UAGCUCAUACUUGGUGUUGUACUGAUUGA
This 29-nucleotide non-coding RNA is filed under the name Rattus norvegicus (Norway rat). Lineage: Eukaryota; Metazoa; Chordata; Mammalia; Rodentia; Muridae. The record is from RNAcentral.